This 294-nucleotide long non-coding RNA is filed under the name Musa acuminata (dwarf banana). RNAcentral's name for it is "long non-coding RNA (MACU_LNC006726)". Lineage: Eukaryota; Viridiplantae; Streptophyta; Magnoliopsida; Zingiberales; Musaceae. The record is from RNAcentral.
UCUCCUCUAAAUCCUGUCUUUUUCUUUGUUCCUUGUGUUUGGUAGGGAGGAGGUAAUUUUUCUCUGUUUGGGGCUUUUGAUGCGGGAAAUUAGGUUUUUCCACCUUCUUAAUCGAGAGUGGUUUGUGGGUUCUGUUGUUCUGUAGGCGACUGAUCUGAACCCCGAUCCAUGACAUCUGAUGUUUUGAUAGAAUAAGGGCUGAGAUGAAUCUUUAAGUUUCUGGUAAUUGAAGUUUGAGCUGAGUGAUCAGUGAGGUUUCUCGUUGCCCUAACAUCUGGUUUGGAUUCUUCACGG